Molecule: ribosomal RNA, 237 nt
Filed under: uncultured bacterium
Lineage: Bacteria
Description: partial 16S ribosomal RNA
Rfam family: Bacterial small subunit ribosomal RNA
Source: RNAcentral
UACGUAGGGUGCAAGCGUUAUCCGGAAUUAUUGGGCGUAAAGAGCUCGUAGGCGGUUUGUCGCGUCUGCUGUGAAAACUGGGGGCUCAACCCCCCAGCCUGCAGUGGGUACGGGCAGACUAGAGUGCGGUAGGGGAGAUUGGAAUUCCUGGUGUAGCGGUGGAAUGCGCAGAUAUCAGGAGGAACACCGAUGGCGAAGGCAGGUCUCUGGGCCACUACUGACGCUGAGAAGCGAAAG